RNAcentral lists this ribosomal RNA (253 nucleotides) under uncultured bacterium. Its description in RNAcentral is "partial 16S ribosomal RNA". It matches the Rfam family "Bacterial small subunit ribosomal RNA", at positions 524 to 776 of the family's 1533-position model. The record is from RNAcentral.
GACAGAGGGUGCAAACGUUGCUCGGAAUCACUGGGCGUAAAGGGCGUGUAGGCGGGAAGGAAAGUCAGAUGUGAAAGCCCUGGGCUCAACCCAGGAACUGCAUUUGAAACUCCCUUUCUUGAGUGUCGGAGAGGAAAGCGGAAUUCCUGGUGUAGAGGUGAAAUUCGUAGAUAUCAGGAGGAACACCGGUGGCGAAGGCGGCUUUCUGGACGACAACUGACGCUGAGACGCGAAAGCCAGGGGAGCAAACGGG